AUUGAACGCUGGCGGCAUGCCUUACACAUGCAAGUCGAACGGCAGCACGGGAGCAAUCCUGGUGGCGAGUGGCGAACGGGUGAGUAAUAUAUCGGAACGUGCCCAGUCGUGGGGAUAACGUAGCGAAAGCUACGCUAAUACCGCAUACGAUCUAUGGAUGAAAGCGGGGGAUCGCAAGACCUCGCGCGAUUGGAGCGGCCGAUAUCAGAUUAGGUAGUUGGUGAGGUAAAGGCUCACCAAGCCGACGAUCUGUAGCUGGUCUGAGAGGACGACCAGCCACACUGGGACUGAGACACGGCCCAGACUCCUACGGGAGGCAGCAGUGGGGAAUUUUUGGACAAUGGGCGCAAGCCUGAUCCAGUAAUGCCGCGUGCAGGAUGAAGGCCUUC
Molecule: ribosomal RNA, 389 nt
Filed under: uncultured bacterium
Lineage: Bacteria
Description: bacterial SSU rRNA
Rfam family: Bacterial small subunit ribosomal RNA
Source: RNAcentral